GGGUUGUGAGGUUAAGCGACUAAGCGUACACGGUGGAUGCCCUGGCAGUCAGAGGCGAUGAAGGACGUGCUAAUCUGCGAUAAGCGUCGGUAAGGUGAUAUGAACCGUUAUAACCGGCGAUUUCCGAAUGGGGAAACCCAGUGUGAUUCGUCACACUAUCAUUAACUGAAUCCAUAAGUUAAUGAGGCGAACCGGGGGAACUGAAACAUCUAAGUACCCCGAGGAAAAGAAAUCAACCGAGAUUCCCCCAGUAGCGGCGAGCGAACGGGGAGCAGCCCAGAGCCUGAAUCAGUGUGUGUGUUAGUGGAAGCGUCUGGAAAGGCGCGCGAUACAGGGUGACAGCCCCGUACACAAAAAUGCACAUGCUGUGAGCUCGAUGAGUAGGGCGGGACACGUGGUAUCCUGUCUGAAUAUGGGGGGACCAUCCUCCAAGGCUAAAUACUCCUGACUGACCGAUAGUGAACCAGUACCGUGAG
Molecule: ribosomal RNA, 476 nt
Filed under: Escherichia coli
Lineage: Bacteria; Pseudomonadati; Pseudomonadota; Gammaproteobacteria; Enterobacterales; Enterobacteriaceae
Description: bacterial LSU rRNA
Rfam family: Bacterial large subunit ribosomal RNA
Source: RNAcentral